AGAUCCAAGGUGCUCCUUGGCUCCCACACACUCUCCUCCAGCGCCCCAUCUUCCCUGGUUGCCCCUCGGUUCCCCGCUUCCCCAGUUUCCCCCGUUACCCCCCACCCCUCCCACC
This is a non-coding RNA of Callithrix jacchus (white-tufted-ear marmoset), 115 nucleotides long. NCBI's taxonomy places the organism in Eukaryota, Metazoa, Chordata, Mammalia, Primates, Cebidae. The record is from Rfam.